CAAUAUAUCACAGUGAUCAACGACAUCGACCCUAGCAAUCCUAAUGGUAUGUCUCUUGAUGGAUUUCUUGUUUCCUCUGCCAUGGUUGCAAUGGUGUCAAAUCCUCCAUAGGCAAAGUACACAAUUGCUGCCGCUUGGAAGACCCCUUGGGCACCAUGAGGCAAAUAAGGUUUCAUAUUGGAUGCAUUGCCAUGAGCAAAUCCUGCAAUUAUCACAAAUAAAAUCACCAAAGUAUUUACUGCUGAUGCAAUCCAAUUUAUGCAGGAAGCUCUCCUUGCACUGGCCAUUGCAAUUGUUGAUGCAAUUGCGAGAACUCCAACAGCAAUCGGAUCCAAAAGGUUAUAUCCAUCAUUGAGACU
Molecule: long non-coding RNA, 359 nt
Filed under: Olea europaea (common olive)
Lineage: Eukaryota; Viridiplantae; Streptophyta; Magnoliopsida; Lamiales; Oleaceae
Description: long non-coding RNA (OEUR_LNC002432)
Source: RNAcentral